This 660-nucleotide ribosomal RNA is filed under the name uncultured bacterium. RNAcentral describes it as "bacterial SSU rRNA". It matches the Rfam family "Bacterial small subunit ribosomal RNA", at positions 94 to 788 of the family's 1533-position model. The record is from RNAcentral.
AGUGGCGGACGGGUGAGUAACGCGUGAGAAUCUGCCUUGGGGUCGGGGACAACCACUGGAAACGGUGGCUAAUACCGGAUACGCCUUCGGGUAAAAGAUUUAUUGCCCUAAGAGGAGCUCGCGUCUGAUUAGCUAUUUGGUGAGGUAAGAGCUCACCAAGGCAGCGAUCAGUAGCUGGUCUGAGAGGACGAUCAGCCACACUGGGACUGAGACACGGCCCAGACUCCUACGGGAGGCAGCAGUGGGGAAUUUUCCGCAAUGGGCGAAAGCCUGACGGAGCAAGACCGCGUGAGGGAGGAAGGCUCUUGGGUUGUAAACCUCUUUUCUCAGGGAAGAAGCUCUGACGGUACCUGAGGAAUCAGCCUCGGCUAACUCCGUGCCAGCAGCCGCGGUAAUACGGAGGAGGCAAGCGUUAUCCGGAAUUAUUGGGCGUAAAGCGUCCGCAGGUGGCGAUUCAAGUCUGCUGUCAAAGCACGGGGCUUAACUCCGUAAAGGCAGUGGAAACUGAAUAGCUAGAGUGCCGUAGGGGUAGAGGGAAUUCCCGGUGUAGCGGUGAAAUGCGUAGAGAUCGGGAAGAACAUCGGUGGCGAAAGCGCUCUACUGGACGGCAACUGACACUCAGGGACGAAAGCUAGGGGAGCGAAUGGGAUUAGAUACCCC